AGAGACAGCAGCCGCCGGGGAAUACGUAGGUGGCAAGCGUUGUCCGGAAUUAUUGGGCGUAAAGGGCUCGCAGGCGGUUUCUUAAGUCUGAUGUGAAAGCCCCCGGCUCAACCGGGGAGGGUCAUUGGAAACUGGGAAACUUGAGUGCAGAAGGGGAGAGUGGAAUUCCACGUGUAGCGGUGAAAUGCGUAGAGAUGUGGAGGAACACCAGUGGCGAAGGCGACUCUCUGGUCUGUAACUGACGCUGAGGAGCGAAAGCGUGGGGAGCGAACAGGAUUAGAUACCCCAGUAGUCCCUGUCUCUUAUACA
RNAcentral lists this ribosomal RNA (309 nucleotides) under uncultured bacterium. Its description in RNAcentral is "partial 16S ribosomal RNA". It matches the Rfam family "Bacterial small subunit ribosomal RNA", at positions 504 to 808 of the family's 1533-position model. The record is from RNAcentral.